GCUCAACCAAAGAAGUGCAUUGGAAACUGGGAGACUUGAGUGCAGAAGAGGACAGUGGAACUCCAUGUGUAGCGGUGAAAUGCGUAGAUAUAUGGAAGGACACCAGUGGCGAAGGCGGCUGUCUGGUCUGCAACUGACGCUGAGGCUCGAAAGCAUGGGUAGCGAACAGGAUUAGAUACCCUGGUAGUCCAUGCCGUAAACGAUGAUUACUAAGUGUUGGAGGGUUUCCGCCCUUCAGUGCUGCAGCUAACGCAUUAAGUAAUCCGCCUGGGGAGUACGACCGCAAGGUUGAAACUCAAAAGAAUUGACGGGGGCCCGCACAAGCGGUGGAGCAUGUGGUUUAAUUCGAAGCUACGCGAAGAACCUUACCAGGUCUUGACAUCUUCUGACAGUCUAAGAGAUUAGAGGUUCCCUUCGGGGACAGAAUGACAGGUGGUGCGUGGUUGUCGUCAGCUCGUGUCGUGAGAUGUUGGGUUAAGUCCCGCAACGAGCGCAACCCUUAUUACUAGUUGCCAGCAUUAAGUUGGGCACUCUAGUGAGACUGCCGGUGACAAACCGGAGGAAGGUGGGGACGACGUCAAAUCAUCAUGCCCCUUAUGACCUGGGCUACACACGUGCUACAAUGGAUGGUACAACG
Molecule: ribosomal RNA, 637 nt
Filed under: uncultured bacterium
Lineage: Bacteria
Description: bacterial SSU rRNA
Rfam family: Bacterial small subunit ribosomal RNA
Source: RNAcentral